Molecule: ribosomal RNA, 20 nt
Filed under: uncultured Glomus
Lineage: Eukaryota; Fungi; Glomeromycota; Glomeromycetes; Glomerales; Glomeraceae
Description: partial 28S ribosomal RNA
Source: RNAcentral
GACCUCAAUCCGGAGAUCCA